Small nucleolar RNA from Coffea arabica (coffee), 101 nucleotides. RefSeq annotates it as small nucleolar RNA snoR99. NCBI's taxonomy places the organism in Eukaryota, Viridiplantae, Streptophyta, Magnoliopsida, Gentianales, Rubiaceae. The record is from RefSeq and is a predicted model, not a curated record.
UUGCUUUUGGGAUGAACAAGUCCAUUAUAUACAAUUAUUCAUCCUAUACUUAAUCUGCACUUCUUUUGAUGUUUCACUGAUUAUGCAGUGAUGGAACAAUU